This 570-nucleotide ribosomal RNA is filed under the name Triticum aestivum (bread wheat). RNAcentral describes it as "partial small subunit ribosomal RNA". Lineage: Eukaryota; Viridiplantae; Streptophyta; Magnoliopsida; Poales; Poaceae. The record is from RNAcentral.
AUGAAUUUUAAACAACUUGAUCAUGAGCAUGUUGCCCAAUCUUGGGAAAGAAUGAAAUGGAUGAUUCAUAAUUGCCCUACUCAUGGUUUGAAUUUAUGGAUGAUCAUACAAAAAUUUUAUGCCGGUUUGAACUUUGCUUCUAGAAAUCUCUUAGAUUCGGCCGCGGGAGGCACGUUUAUGGAAAUCGCGUUAGGAGAUGCUACAAAACUUGUUGAUAAUAUUAUGGCUAAUUAUUCUCAAUGGCACACCGAAAGAUCUUCUAGUAAAAAAGUGCAUGCUAUAGAAGAAAUCAAUGUUUUGAGUGGAAAGAUGGAUGAACUUGUGAAGUUGUUUGCUACUAAAAAUACUCCUCUUGAUCCCAAUGAUAUGCCUUUGUCUACUUUGAUUGAGAAUAAUAAUGAAUCUAUGGAUGUGAAUUUUGUUGGUGGAAUAGUUUUGGAAACAAUGCUUAUAGAGGAAACUUUAAUUCUAGACUGUUCCCUACUAAUUCCUCUAAUAAUUAUGGAAAAUCCUACAGUAAUUCUUAUGGUAAUUUUAAUAAGAUGCCCUCUGAUUUUGAGAAUAGUGUGA